RNAcentral lists this transfer RNA (85 nucleotides) under Gammaproteobacteria bacterium. RNAcentral describes it as "tRNA-Tyr". It matches the Rfam family "tRNA". Rfam says of the family: Transfer RNA (tRNA) molecules are approximately 80 nucleotides in length. Their secondary structure includes four short double-helical elements and three loops (D, anti-codon, and T loops). RNAcentral also lists the same sequence under 2 other names. Lineage: Bacteria; Pseudomonadati; Pseudomonadota; Gammaproteobacteria. The record is from RNAcentral.
GGCGAGGUUCCCGAGUGGUCAAAGGGGGCAGACUGUAAAUCUGUUGGCAUUGCCUUCGAUGGUUCGAACCCAUCUCUCGCCACCA